This 504-nucleotide ribosomal RNA is filed under the name Triticum aestivum (bread wheat). Its description in RNAcentral is "partial small subunit ribosomal RNA". Lineage: Eukaryota; Viridiplantae; Streptophyta; Magnoliopsida; Poales; Poaceae. The record is from RNAcentral.
AUGAAGGUCGGGGCUGUGCAUCAGCCAUGGAUGGGCGGCCUUGGCGAAGGGCGCAGGGAGGAGAGGAGGCUCCAGCGGAGUAGGCAGGACGGCGGCGACAACCGUGGGGGCUCCUGCUCCUGUUGGGCAACGAAGACAGGCGCAACGCACCUGGCAGAGGCGGAGACGCGGCGCUCCGGGUCGCCGGUACGAGGGGAGAAGGGCGACGGGCGUGCGGCUCCAGGCGAAGCUCAGGCUCCCGGCGAGAAAGACGAACGGGGAGCAGGAGAUCCGGGUGCGGGUCCAGCGGGGCCGCUUGAGGAGGAGUGGAUGAGGGAGACUGCGGUGUCUAUCGGGAGGAUGAGAGGGAGAAGGGGUUGGCCGAAGGUGGCGCUCGGGAGGAGGACGAGGGGGAUCGAGGAGAGGGACGACGGGUGCUCUGUCCCUGGCGGCGAGAGAGGGAAACGGGGAAGGGAGCGAGAUCGAGAGGAGAGGGAGGCUGCGGCUGGGCCUCGGGCCAUCUAG